This 429-nucleotide ribosomal RNA is filed under the name Bacteroidota bacterium. Its description in RNAcentral is "Bacteroidetes bacterium partial 16S ribosomal RNA". It matches the Rfam family "Bacterial small subunit ribosomal RNA", at positions 355 to 776 of the family's 1533-position model. The record is from RNAcentral. Lineage: Bacteria; Pseudomonadati; Bacteroidota.
UAGGGAAUCUUCGGCAAUGGGGGGAACCCUGACUGAGCAACGCCGCGUGAGUGAAGAAGGUUUUCGGAUCGUAAAGCUCUGUUGUUAAGGAAGAACGAGUGUGAGAAUGGAAAGUUCAUACUGUGACGGUACUUAACCAGAAAGGGACGGCUAACUACGUGCCAGCAGCCGCGGUAAUACGUAGGUCCCGAGCGUUGUCCGGAUUUAUUGGGCGUAAAGCGAGCGCAGGCGGUUAGAUAAGUCUGAAGUUAAAGGCAGUGGCUCAACCAUUGUAGGCUUUGGAAACUGUUUAACUUGAGUGCAGAAGGGGGGAGUGGAAUUCCAUGUGUAGCGGUGAAAUGCGUAGAUAUAUGGAGGAACACCGGUGGCGAAAGCGGCUCUCUGGUCUGUAACUGACGCUGAGGCUCGAAAGCGUGGGGAGCGAACAGG